This 338-nucleotide long non-coding RNA is filed under the name Lupinus mutabilis. RNAcentral describes it as "partial ncRNA". The record is from RNAcentral. Lineage: Eukaryota; Viridiplantae; Streptophyta; Magnoliopsida; Fabales; Fabaceae.
CCUUCUCUAUCUUGAUUGUAUCAUCCUUCUUUUCCUUUUUCUUCUCAUCUUUUUCCUUCUUAUCCUUGUUUUUCUUUUUCUUAUUAUCUUCACUAUCAACCUCUUUUCCUUUUUGCUUCAAUGUAUCUGUUUCAUCCUCCCUAUCAUGUUUUUCUUUUUUCUUCUUCUUUUCCUUUUUUCCUUUCUUCUCUUCACCACCCUCUCCUUCAACUUCGCCCUUGUCCUUGGUUUCGUUUUUCUUCUCCUUCUUCUUUUCCUUCUUCCCUUCACCAUCCUCUCCCAUGCUCUUAUCUUUCUUUAUGUCAGUUUCUUCAUCCUUCUCUUUCUUUUCUUUUUUC